Long non-coding RNA from Rhodamnia argentea, 863 nucleotides. RefSeq lists it as uncharacterized. Lineage: Eukaryota; Viridiplantae; Streptophyta; Magnoliopsida; Myrtales; Myrtaceae. The record is from RefSeq and is a predicted model, not a curated record. The transcript is spliced from 3 exons.
GAAUUGGAGGUUGGUGCCUUAGGGGAUUUUUUCCCUAACUUAACCGAGAGUCAUCUAGACCAAUAUGAAGUGUACCAUACUGCUGUAUUUCCAUCUUGUUUCCCUUCUGGGUAUACAAUUUAAAGUGUCCAUGAAAAUUAAGAACUUGAAUUGAAGGGGAUGUCAUCUAUGCUAGAUGGACUAGCCAUGUCAGAUGCAGAAAUGCUUGAUGCCAACAUGGAGUUGGUAGGUUUAGGCCCUGCAUAAUAACGUCUCGAUGCUGUCAGGCAUCUAUAUAAUUUUCCUUAGAUUUCUAAUGCCGACUCUCACAAUGUAAUGCACUUCUGGCUCCUCUUCUUCCUCUUUUUUACUGAUCGAGUGAUCCCUACAAGGAGAUAUUUAAUGUAUACUAGAUUGUAGAGUAUAGGCUGGAAAGUUUCUCACUUCUUGUACUACUAGAGUUAAUUUAUCUUGUUCUGAUUACGGAGCAGCAUUUUGUCGCAUCAUUUUAAUUAAUCAAGUUCGCAGGUGGGAGUUUAACUUACUUGUUAAUAGGAUAUCUCAAGCAAUGCUCCAUACUUGUAUGACAAUCUGGUCGAGAGGGAUGGAGUUACGAAUUGGAGAAAGCGCAGAGACUAGGAGUGUAGGGGGAGCUGCAUCCAAGUAAAUGUAUCACAUCAUUAUGCUGGUGCGUCCUGAUGGCAAGAUUGUUGUCUUGGGCCUUGAAGAGAUGCAGUUUCACUGCAUGAUGUAGAAGUUUGGAUCUUCAUGUUAAAGUGGAAGCAAUUCGGUCCGAGGUUGAGAUCCUAUUGGUGUUGAUUUUGUGCUGUUAGAAUGACGGAGGUUUGUUGGCUGGUUCCGCCUCUUCGUGGGGUUCAGCUAAC